UACGUAGGUGGCAAGCGUUGUCCGGAUUUACUGGGCGUAAAGAGCGCGCAGGCGGUCGUUCAAGUCGAGUGUGAAAGCCCCCGGCUCAACUGGGGAGGGUCAUUCGAUACUGAUCGACUCGAAGGCAGGAGAGGGAAGUGGAAUUCCCGGUGUAGUGGUGAAAUGCGUAGAUAUCGGGAGGAACACCAGUGGCGAAGGCGACUUCCUGGCCUGUACUGACGCUGAGGAGCGAAAGCGUGGGGAGCGAACAGG
This 252-nucleotide ribosomal RNA is filed under the name uncultured bacterium. RNAcentral describes it as "partial 16S ribosomal RNA". It matches the Rfam family "Bacterial small subunit ribosomal RNA", at positions 524 to 776 of the family's 1533-position model. The record is from RNAcentral.